UGGGACGCUGUGUCCUCCCUUCAAUCCCUUAUUUCCAGAAACCACGUGAAUCCAAGCUGGGUACCAGCUUCUGAGCAGAGCGCCGGCUCCUUAAUCCCUACCUGAUGCCACCCUCUGUUGUCUGAAACAGCAUAAUCCACCCUAGCAGCCAAUUUGGGGAGCCACAGGGGAGAGAAAUAAACCACCAGGAGUAGUUGUUCGGUGCUCACAAUGACAAGAAGCACAAGCUAUUUCCACCAGUAUAUAGUAGAUGCACACGUGAGAAGACUUGGAUUCAGAGGUUCAUAUAAGUCACCCAUAACAACAGGGUAUUGGUGGUUGGAAUCAAAGUUCGUGUUUUCUUCCACACUUUAGCAUUUGUCACAAGGCUGUCUGUGUGCCCCUUUGGAGUCCCUGGGGGUGCUAGAUAACAAUACCAGUUCUCCUCUGCAUUUGACCCUUCUGAAUUUUAGUUUCUGGAUGUGGGAUCUGACAAUUACCAUUUUAAUCAGCAACCACAUUGAUUUUUAAGCACCCUGAGAGUUAAGAGCUUAGUCUGUGCAUCUAGCAUCUCAUGCUCAGGCAGUACACCUGGGUAGCAGAUUUGUGGGACCAGAAGCAAGUGUGCCAUUGCCUCCCAAUUGAACACUGUCCCAGGGACACAACUGGAGUCAUGAGAGAACAGGAAAGCAGCAUCAUCUGUCACAUUUGUUGCAAUGAACUUCCUCUUGCAUUUCCUGAGGAAUGCAGGAGAGAGCAGAGAAGUUGUGGCCGAAAUAGCUACUACUGUGCACCCUUCCAUACUGCACAGACAUGGGGGCUGAGGUGGGUGUGGGUCAGUCAUGCUGACCCCAUUGUCACUGCCACACCAUUGCCAUCCAUCCUCUCUUCCCCUCUUUCAGGCUCAGAUCGUCUGUCUCCAUGUCCUUCCCUCCGUUCCAUCUGAACACUUGCUAUCCUUUUGUCCUUAUUCACGGGCUACUUCAGCACCUGGACAACACUGUCCAGAUCAGCACCUUCUGAUUAACUGGCAAUAUUCUUGCCUUGUGUCCCUUGACUGCAUCUUUCACAGUGGUGGUUUCAUUGUCUCCACUGCAGCUAUCCACUGCUGUCCUCAUCCCCUGACCCUAAUUAACAGAAACUGUGUCAUAUCUGAAAUCUCUAACAGAAAGAGGUAAUUUCCCCAAGGUAACUCUUGGUUCACCCAGAUCUUCUGUUUAGCUUCCUCUAUGGAGAUACUUCAUCAGCUGACAUGACCUAUCAACAUCUCUCCUUCUCUACCAUUUAGCCUCUCCUUUAUUGGAUCUGUGUACACCAGCUUGUAACACCUGCUCCAUGGAUGCAAGCAAGUACUCUCUUGCAAAUGUGUUCAUCUCUUGCCAAUCCAGGAAGAACUCAGUCACCUGCAAUGCUUCAUCUCACAUCUGUCCUAAAACUAGGUGCUGCUGAUAAACCCCAUUCCCUCAAUUCAUAUUCUUGGACUGGCUAGAACUAUGAAUGCAUAAUUUUUAAACAAGUGUCCCAGAGGAUUGUCAUUGAGCAAAAAAUAAAAAGUUCUGUUUCUCUCCUCAGGUUUUCCCCCACUGUCCUAUUCAGGGAUGACUCAUUUGCUUGUGUCCUGGUGACUAGGGAUUGUGUUACACUGCCAUCUCCAUUCUAUCUGACAUCUUAAUCUUCAUUAUAUCUGUGACAACAUACAAGCUUGCUCAAUUUUUCCCACCAUUGGGGAAAAAAUGAGUUAGAAAGACAAAAACCAGGCAUAAACUAUGGAAUAUCAGCCUUCAUUUUGCUCAUUUCUAUUAUCAAACUUCUCAAAAACAUUUUAUACCAGGCAUUCCAUGCCCACGCCUGCCAAUUGCAUUGUAAUCUGCUAAAGCUGGAUUCUGCUCUGGCGCCAAAAUGUUUUUACUCAAGUGAUUGGUGCUCCCCAUCCUUAGAUCAAAAUAUUCUGCUUAUUUUAUAUUGGCCAUGCCUCAGUUUUCUGUAUCUAUAGUAUAGAAUCUAUCCCGGAGAUGCAGCAUACUCCAUGGAUGCAAUCAUAGAAAAAAGAAAUAAGUCCCUAUUGUGUGUGAGCUGUGAGAUCUUAUGACUGUGUUCCACACGUCACAUUCUAGGAUGUAGACUGAUGGACAGCACCUGUCUAUAUUAUGCUCUAGAAUAUACCAUGCUUACAGUUGAGCAAAAGUUCUUGUGCUUUCUAUUGGGCAGAGGAUAAAUGUGCUCACUUCAUAUUUAAAGUAAAGUUCUGUAGCCAACAGAGUGGGGCUGCACCCCUGUCACCGAAUGAGAGGAACAGUACACUGCCAGUCAUGUAAUAGUGAAGAAUAACUUUGUUACAGAAAAAGAGUAGACAGAUGAUUAUGGCAACACUUCAUGCUCCACACUGAUUCCCACUCUUUGACCCUUCCCUGUCAAACUCAGCCUGCAUUCUGGCCUCUCUGAUCACUAGAUCUGUGUGACUUUGACAUCAACUUCCUCAGACAGACCUUUGCUCAGCCUCAUACACUUGAUUAUCAGCCAUUUCCAUCUUCCUGGUAUUCUUCCUGCAUACCUAUUGCUUAUCUUACCUCAUCUUACGUUCAUGAUGAAAAAAUAAGAGAAAAUCCAUCAAGUCCACUGUGACAUGAGAACUCUGGGAGUCCUCAAUACUGUAUUCUUCUUCCUCCCACCCCUUGAAUUCACAGGGUGUGUGUUAGAGUGGCUAUUAAAAUUUGUGCUCUUCUCUUUGUACAUCUCCCAAUGUGAAUGUAUUCAUUUCUGUGGGUAAACAGAUCCUUGGUUAUACAAAAAGUUUCAAGCCAUCUCAUUUGAGUUCCAUCAAUUUUCUUACUAGACAUUUUCAAAUAUUAACUCACAGUCUGCUCUCUUACUCUCCUUCAUUCACAGCAAACAAAGAAGAGGUCUCCCAACCCCCACGAGAUACAUCUCAUGCUUCUCCCCUUGUGCCCACUUGUGGCAAUGUUAUAACCUUAUCGUAUUCCACUUAAUACCACUUACUAAGGAUGCUCUAAUGACUGGUGUAUGAAAAAGACAAAAUAAAUUAUGUGACUUUAUUUUCCCAAAGACAACUGGGGUUACAUAUGUGUCAAAUAGAACAUAAUAGAUAGGGAUUUAUUCCUCCAUUAGCUUUUUAGGUUUGCUUAUCUUUCAGAGUAAUUUAAAUUGAAUUGGAAGACAAAUCCUUAUUUGAUUGUUAGGCAAUUCAGUGCUAUUUAUUUUGUGUAAGUUGGUGUGGGAUCUAAGUGCACUGUUGUUAAAAGGCUAUUUAAUGUCACAUAGAGGGCCUAUUAAUUUUUCCAAUAAAUUGCCGGCAUGCCCAGCCACUUGCAUACAUUUAA
Molecule: long non-coding RNA, 3317 nt
Organism: Cavia porcellus (domestic guinea pig)
Lineage: Eukaryota; Metazoa; Chordata; Mammalia; Rodentia; Caviidae
Exons: 2
Source: RefSeq, a predicted model, not a curated record